Molecule: ribosomal RNA, 1367 nt
Filed under: uncultured bacterium
Lineage: Bacteria
Description: bacterial SSU rRNA
Rfam family: Bacterial small subunit ribosomal RNA
Source: RNAcentral
GACGAACGCUGGCGGCGUGCCUAAUACAUGCAAGUAGAACGCUGAAGGAGGAGCUUGCUUCUCUGGAUGAGUUGCGAACGGGUGAGUAACGCGUAGGUAACCUGCCUGGUAGCGGGGGAUAACUAUUGGAAACGAUAGCUAAUACCGCAUAAGAGUAGAUGUUGCAUGACAUUUGCUUAAAAGGUGCAAUUGCAUCACUACCAGAUGGACCUGCGUUGUAUUAGCUAGUUGGUGAGGUAACGGCUCACCAAGGCGACGAUACAUAGCCGACCUGAGAGGGUGAUCGGCCACACUGGGACUGAGACACGGCCCAGGCUCCUACGGGAGGCAGCAGUAGGGAAUCUUCGGCAAUGGACGGAAGUCUGACCGAGCAACGCCGCGUGAGUGAAGAAGGUUUUCGGAUCGUAAAGCUCUGUUGUAAGAGAAGAACGAGUGUGAGAGUGGAAAGUUCACACUGUGACGGUAUCUUACCAGAAAGGGACGGCUAACUACGUGCCAGCAGCCGCGGUAAUACGUAGGUCCCGAGCGUUGUCCGGAUUUAUUGGGCGUAAAGCGAGCGCAGGCGGUUAGAUAAGUCUGAAGUUAAAGGCUGUGGCUUAACCAUAGUACGCUUUGGAAACUGUUUAACUUGAGUGCAAGAGGGGAGAGUGGAAUUCCAUGUGUAGCGGUGAAAUGCGUAGAUAUAUGGAGGAACACCGGUGGCGAAAGCGGCUCUCUGGCUUGUAACUGACGCUGAGGCUCGAAAGCGUGGGGAGCAAACAGGAUUAGGUACCCUGGUAGUCCACGCCGUAAACGAUGAGUGCUAGGUGUUAGACCCUUUCCGGGGUUUAGUGCCGCAGCUAACGCAUUAAGCACUCCGCCUGGGGAGUACGACCGCAAGGUUGAAACUCAAAGGAAUUGACGGGGGCCCGCACAAGCGGUGGAGCAUGUGGUUUAAUUCGAAGCAACGCGAAGAACCUUACCAGGUCUUGACAUCCCUCUGACCGCUCUAGAGAUAGAGUUUUCCUUCGGGACAGAGGUGACAGGUGGUGCAUGGUUGUCGUCAGCUCGUGUCGUGAGAUGUUGGGUUAAGUCCCGCAACGAGCGCAACCCCUAUUGUUAGUUGCCAUCAUUCAGUUGGGCACUCUAGCGAGACUGCCGGUAAUAAACCGGAGGAAGGUGGGGAUGACGUCAAAUCAUCAUGCCCCUUAUGACCUGGGCUACACACGUGCUACAAUGGCUGGUACAACGAGUCGCAAGCCGGUGACGGCAAGCUAAUCUCUUAAAGCCAGUCUCAGUUCGGAUUGUAGGCUGCAACUCGCCUACAUGAAGUCGGAAUCGCUAGUAAUCGCGGAUCAGCACGCCGCGGUGAAUACGUUCCCGGGCCU